AUUGAACGCUGGCGGCAGGCCUAACACAUGCAAGUCGAGCGGAUGAAGGGAGCUUGCUCCUGGAUUCAGCGGCGGACGGGUGAGUAAUGCCUAGGAAUCUGCCUGGUAGUGGGGGAUAACGUCCGGAGACGGGCGCUAAUACCGCAUACGUCCUGAGGGAGAAAGUGGGGGAUCUUCGGACCUCACGCUAUUAGAUGAGCCUAGGUCGGAUUAGCUAGUUGGUGGGGUAAAGGCCUACCAAGGCGACGAUCCGUAACUGGUCUGAGAGGAUGAUCAGUCACACUGGAACUGAGACACGGUCCAGACUCCUACGGGAGGCAGCAGUGGGGAAUAUUGGACAAUGGGCGAAAGCCUGAUCCAGCCAUGCCGCGUGUGUGAAGAAGGUCUUCGGAUUGUAAAGCACUUUAAGUUGGGAGGAAGGGCAGUAAGUUAAUACCUUGCUGUUUUGACGUUACCAACAGAAUAAGCACCGGCUAACUUCGUG
Molecule: ribosomal RNA, 484 nt
Filed under: uncultured bacterium
Lineage: Bacteria
Description: partial 16S ribosomal RNA
Rfam family: Bacterial small subunit ribosomal RNA
Source: RNAcentral